Molecule: long non-coding RNA, 1285 nt
Organism: Pecten maximus
Lineage: Eukaryota; Metazoa; Mollusca; Bivalvia; Pectinida; Pectinidae
Exons: 2
Source: RefSeq, a predicted model, not a curated record
UUUGAUUGGCUAAUCCAAAAGGUCAUUCCGACGUGACCCCUUAUGGGAUGUUGUUAGAUGUUCAUGCAACGUAGUGAGAAUGACCAUCUAGAUUUUAAUUAGAUUGGGACAUUGUGUGUUGGUUUUCCCUGAGCAAGAUACUUCAUUUCUUGUGUGUUAAAGACACUUAUUGGUUGCUAAAGGUUGUUAACCGCAUAACCACAGAUUAAAAUUGGCGUACAGCUUUGAGACGGCUUUGUUGCUUUGACAAAGCAAUAUCUUCGAAUCAUAAUUAUUAGUAAUUAAUUAUAAGGUACUUUUUUCCAAAAUGAUUAUCUUUUGAAUUAUAUUCCAUUAUUGAUUGUGGAAUAUUGCUAAAUAUCUCAAGUAAGAACUUAAAUCAUCUUUCAGUAAUCGCCAAAACGUAGAUCUUACAUGUAAUGUCAGUUGUUUGAGAAGUAAUACUUAUUGUUGUAUAUAUUACAUAUUCCCACACAGCCCUUUGUCAUCAAGUAUUAUAUCAACUCCCAUGAUGCAAUGCAUGUGUGAUAAAUGUUUAUAUAUACUUUUUAUUGUGUUAUGUUUUUACUGAUAUAACUAGUCAUUGACGUUUUUUUCAAGAAAAUCAUCAUUUGAAAAAAAAGAGAAAGUAGUUUUGGUAAUUGCUUGAAAAUUAGCAAAACAUCGUUAUAUUGUUCAAAGUGCAAAUAUUGAAUGAUCUACCUAACAAUAUAAAACGUUUUUCACCAAAUAUAAGCCCUGCAUAAAGUCAGUCAGAGAUAUACAGCUACAGUGUAUAUGCUUAUGACUAGUUUCUUUUUUUUAAAUGGAAGACCCAAAAAUAAAUAAUGAGUUAAAAAUAUCAAUAACUUUAAGAUAUGAAAAGAAGAAAAUUCAUAUCUAGUGAGUCUGUAAAGAUAAGAGUAAGAAAGGUAAAAUUCCUGUUUUGCAGAUAAGCAAGGUCAAAUUUCAAUUUGGCUCAUAGAUGUAUUUAUUUACUGAAAAGAAGAUAGUUAUGUAGUAGGUUAGCUAUUUGCCUUGCAGUAACUUACCAGAUAUCUCUUUACGUAACUUUAGAAAAUCUGUGGUGACUCAACCUGCAAUAUGCACCGUGUCACAAUUCCAUGAACCAUACUUAGGCUACACAUAUUUUGUUUAACAUUAUGAUGAUGUGAGAGGAUCAGUGUGUCCGUUGUAGAGCAUUCUGUAAUGGCCAGUCAUGUAACUGUAUGUCAUCGUUGCCUAUGUUGUUGUCAAUAAUUAUGUAAUUGCAAUUUGUUUACAAAUAAAAUAUGUUCAUUAUAUA